This is a long non-coding RNA of Arachis stenosperma, 673 nucleotides long. RefSeq lists it as uncharacterized. The record is from RefSeq and is a predicted model, not a curated record. The transcript has 3 exons. Lineage: Eukaryota; Viridiplantae; Streptophyta; Magnoliopsida; Fabales; Fabaceae.
AUCAAAAUGUAAAUCUGAAAAUCUGAAGCUGACAUAUUACCCUAUGGCACCGAUUGGUACCAUCUGCUCAUGCUUCUCUACGAGGAAUGGGAUAACGAGGCAACCGUUACUUGUACCACUUGUUAGAGCCUGUUUGGUUUUUAAUGCCACUCGUGUUUCGCCAGUGUCUCUUGAGGGUCAAGUUGAAUAUUCUCACUACUGGGUUUUAUAUGUAUUUCAUUUAAAUACAGAUCUUAAGAAACCACGGAAGCAUCCAUCUCAACCAGGGUUUAAGGCAAAGGUUAUUAGCUCUAGUAUUAAUGUCUUAUCUAUGUAGCAUCUUCUUGCCUCAUUUUAUCCUCUAGAGAUAUUUUUCAUAUGAACUAGUGGAUGGAUAGGUGAGAGUUCUAAGACUUAAAGGAGGAAGAAUGGGAGUGUUCGCCACUCGAUCCCCACAUUGUCCAUGUCCCAUUGGACUUACAGUUGCAAAGUAAAGUUAUUCUCUAAGAAAGGGUACAAGGACCAUUUUUUCAAGUACAGAAGAUACACAAGUACAUAGCUAUCAAGCAUGCAGUAGAAGCUUGACGAUCUUUGUGAGCAGUUAAACAACACUAAAAAGCUCUCAACUGCUUCCUUCAACAAAUUAUCAAACAAGGACGAAGAAUUGCAAUCGAGUUAGGUGUUUGGCGCUGAG